UACGGAGGGUGCGAGCGUUGUCCGGAAUCACUGGGCGUAAAGGGCGCGUAGGUGGCGCGGGCAGUCAACGGUGAAAGUUCGGGGCUCAACCCUGAAUCGGCCGUCGAUACUCCUGGGCUUGAGCACUGUAGAGGCAGAUGGAAUUCCGGGUGUAGCGGUGGAAUGCGUAGAGAUCCGGAAGAACACCGGUGGCGAAGGCGGUCCGCUGGGCAGUAGCUGACACUGAGGCGCGACAGCGUGGGGAGCAAACAGG
RNAcentral lists this ribosomal RNA (253 nucleotides) under uncultured bacterium. RNAcentral's name for it is "partial 16S ribosomal RNA". It matches the Rfam family "Bacterial small subunit ribosomal RNA", at positions 524 to 776 of the family's 1533-position model. The record is from RNAcentral.